UGGUGCAGGACAGUGUGUCUCCUGGAC
This 27-nucleotide non-coding RNA is filed under the name Homo sapiens (human). Lineage: Eukaryota; Metazoa; Chordata; Mammalia; Primates; Hominidae. The record is from RNAcentral.